UCGAAUUGUCGUCUUCUUAUUCUCUCUCAAAACUAACGAAAAACACGAAUCGACAUGGCUAAGGAGCUUGCAGCUAAGGCCACAGAGGCAUUCGUAGACGACGACUUCGACGUUGCUGUUGACUUAUACUCAAAAGCCAUUGACUUGGAUCCCAACUGCGCUGAGCUCUUGGCCGAUCGUGCUCAGGCCAACCUCAAACUCCAAAACUUCACCGGUAUUACUUCUUCCCUUCUGCGAUAAAUAAAGAAAGAUGGAUACUUUGAUAAUAAGAGAACAUAAAGGAGCGACCUUUAUAUAUCAUAACUGCUUUGAUGAGAUCAAGAUUGAGUCUUUUUGUUUUGUGAUUAGCAUUGAUUGCCUUUUUUUAGAUUGUAUGUUCUUGGGACCUCCGAAUCUCUGGUAUUAUAAACAUCCUUUAAUCCAGUGCUGCUUGUUGUUACUUUGGUUGAUUAUGAUUAUACGGUGAUGAUCUCUGAACUCUUUAAUUGCGUUCGCUCAGAAGAAGAAGAGAAAGAUUUGGUUCAACCAGCAGCAAAAUCUGAUCUUACCCAUGUUGUGCCUCCAGCAUUGGCCAAACCAAAGUUCAGACACGAAUACUACCAAAAGCCAGAAGAAGUUGUGGUCGCUAUUUUCGCUAAAGGGAUACAGAAGCAGAGUGUUAAUAUUGACUUCGGUGAACAAAUUGUAAGCAAUACUACUACACUCUAUUGAAGAAACAGGACAAGGAUGAGAAGCUGGAAGGACACGCUGAAGUGAACAAGUUCUUCCGCGACAUUUAUUCCAUUGCUGAUGAGGAUAUGAGACGUGCCAUGAGCAAAUCCUUUGUUGAAUCGAAUGGGACGGUGCUGUCAACAAGCUGGAAAGAGGUUGGGGCUAAGACAAUCGAGAGCACUCCUCCAGAUGGUAUGGAGCUCAAGAAGUGGGAGAUCUAAUCUCUCAUAUGAUCCUUCCUUUUGAUGCGUUUCUGGAUUUUGUUUAAGACAAAUCUUAAAAACCUGGUCCCUUUUCUUCCUGUAAUGAGGAUCCUAAGGUUUAUUUGCUUCCCUUUCUUCCUGUAAUGAGGAUCCUAAGGUUUCUUUGCUUUUG
Long non-coding RNA from Raphanus sativus (radish), 1086 nucleotides. RefSeq lists it as uncharacterized. Lineage: Eukaryota; Viridiplantae; Streptophyta; Magnoliopsida; Brassicales; Brassicaceae. The record is from RefSeq and is a predicted model, not a curated record. The transcript is spliced from 3 exons.